AUGAUCAUGGACUUGGUGAAGGAGAUGGAGACCGAGAGGCCCCUGGUCGGGCAAUGCCUGCCGCUCUGGGAGGACCUGCGCGGCAAGGUCAGAGGCUGGUGCCGGAAAUUCAGCGUAGAAGAGGCCACUGCCAUGAAUGUGGUCGAGAGGAGGUUCAGGAAGAACUACCACCCGGCGUGGUCAGCGGCAUUCAUACUGGACCCAUUGUAUCUGAUCAAGGACGCUGGCAGGAGGUACCUUCCACCGUUCAACUACUUGACGCCAGAGCAGGAGAAGGACGUGGACAGGCUGAUCACGAGGCUGGUGUCGCCGGAGGAGGCGCACCUCGCGCUGAUGGAGCUGAUGAAAUGGCGGUCGGAGGGGCUCGACCCAUUGUACGCGCAGGCGGUGCAGGUCCGGCAGCCAGACCCGUCGACGGGGAAGAUGAAGAUAGCCAACAAGCAGAGCAGCCGUCUUGUCUGGGAGACAUGUCUCAGUGAGUUCAAGUCACUUGGCAAAGUGGCCGUCAGGCUCAUCUUCCUCCAUGCAACCGCCAAGGGGUUCAAAUGCACGCCGUCGAUGACGCGGUGGCUCACCGCGCCGGGGAGCUCAGCCGGCAGCAUCGGCCGGGCGCACCGGCUGGUGUUCAUCGCGGCGAAUUCGAAGCUGGAGAGGAGGGAUUUCUCAAACGACGACGACAAGGACGUGGAGCUGCUGACAGAAGGGGACGACGACAUGCUAACCGAGACUGGCAAUGUGGAUCCCUCCUCCUCCUCAGUGUAG
This 762-nucleotide ribosomal RNA is filed under the name Triticum aestivum (bread wheat). RNAcentral describes it as "partial small subunit ribosomal RNA". Lineage: Eukaryota; Viridiplantae; Streptophyta; Magnoliopsida; Poales; Poaceae. The record is from RNAcentral.